Long non-coding RNA from Selaginella moellendorffii, 469 nucleotides. RefSeq lists it as uncharacterized. The transcript is spliced from 4 exons. Lineage: Eukaryota; Viridiplantae; Streptophyta; Lycopodiopsida; Selaginellales; Selaginellaceae. The record is from RefSeq and is a predicted model, not a curated record.
CUGAAAACUCCUUCAGAAUCAGUUCAACGUGCUGUCUCAAACUUCCUAGCUUCUUUUAUUGCUAGUCCACCAGGUGGAUUCUGAGAAACUUGCAAAAAGUUUGCUUGAACAACUUGUGCAAUCGGAGAAAUAUGGAGAGCGCUGUGGAGCAGCCUUUGGAUUGGCCGGGGUAGUGAAGGGGAAGGGAUUGUCUUGCUUGAAGAAGUUCCGUGUAAUCCGAGAAACUUGGGGAGCCGUGCGUAAUACGAAUCCUGCCAGAGAUGCUUGUGUGUUUCUCCGUUUCCGUUUCAGCAGUAUACGAGGCGGCUGAUCGGACAAUUAUGUCGCAACUUACCGGCCAAGGUGUUAAACUUGUCUUACCGGCUCUAUUCAAGGGGCUAGAAGACCGAGCAUGGCGUACUAAACAUGGAAGUGUUCAACUGCUUGGGACUAUGACUUUUUGUGCUCCUCGGCAGCUCUCGCAAUGCUU